CUGCCUGGCAGUGACAUUGUCACGCCUUUUUGGUGAAAGUAUUUUCGAAACAUUUUAUUUUUAAUUGUCUGUCAGAAAUGCGUGCUCUUAGUGCCACAUUAGCUCAGAUCUAAGGAAAUGCUGGCCCCUAUAAGUAAGUAAUCUAUAUUACCAUAUAAUAUUUUUCCCGUGCUCCAAACCGGCGAGGCGCCCAUGCGAAUAAACACGGCGACUUGCGAAGAAUUCGGUUGCAAUUCGUUCGAGGAGCAGGCCAAAAACAAUUUAAAUGCAAAUCACGUGUUCUUCUGGCUGCAACCGAUCAAUUGGCCAGCGAUUGGGGAUUGUGGCCUGAACUUGGACCACAAAUUGAGGUGGAGAAUGCCAUUUUCCAGUGGGCAAUGAAAACUGACAUUUCAGCGAAAUGGGGACAGUGGCAGAGAAAAUAGAAAUGAUCAAAUCGCGGCGACAUGAACAAUUUCCACAUAUAUUGACGGUUCAGGAAAAUGUGUCACUCACAAAAAGUCUUGGAACAAUUGAUCAUAUCGCAUGGGCCAUUAAAAAAUGUCGACAUUGAGCGACCUGAGAUGCAUUUUCCAUGUCGUGUAAUUGAACACCUAAAACGAUUUGAAAAACAAUUUAAUGCCCAAGCAAAGUUGUUUUGACGGCAAAUAAAACGUGUUUCUAGCUCUUUA
Long non-coding RNA from Drosophila teissieri, 671 nucleotides. RefSeq lists it as uncharacterized. Lineage: Eukaryota; Metazoa; Arthropoda; Insecta; Diptera; Drosophilidae. The transcript is spliced from 2 exons. The record is from RefSeq and is a predicted model, not a curated record.